Piptocephalis cylindrospora is the source of this 72-nucleotide non-coding RNA. NCBI's taxonomy places the organism in Eukaryota, Fungi, Zoopagomycota, Zoopagomycetes, Zoopagales, Piptocephalidaceae. The record is from the annotation of a GenBank genome assembly.
GUCGGAUUAGCUUAACGGUAAAGCAACUACCUUGUAAGUAGUUUAUUGGGAGUUCAAAUCUCUUAUCCGGCA